CUAGAAAUGAUUACAGUACUUAGCAGUGAUCACCUUGAGGAUAUGACAAAAAGUAGUAACUUUCCUCUUCUUCAUCAGGGGAUGCUCAUUGCUAACAAGGGUUGCAUUUGCCCUCUUGGCCAUUUUGUCCUGCUGUGAGAUCAUGAUCUGCUCAGAAUCCUCUCCCACAGCUAGCUUCUUUUCCAGAUGAUUACUUCGCAUGCACAGAAGCCAUGGCCUGGAAGUGACCAAGUGGUUCUUGGCAUCCAGGUAGGACCUUGUUUUUCUUAUUUGCUGGAUCAGCCAUUUGGGAGUGAAGGGCCUGCUGAUUUCAGGAGUGAAGAUUAGUGUCACAAGAAAUCAGCCGUCAUGUAUGUUAUAUGCUGAAUGUGUAUUCUCUCAGCUCCCACUGCUUGGUUGGGAUUGAAACUUUCCUGACAGUUUGAGAGAAUGAAGAGUGCUUGGGCGUUGUGGCAAUCAGGCUGCUCUGAAAAUGGUUAAACUUUUAAUCAGUUGUGAGCUCUUAUGUCACCA
RNAcentral lists this long non-coding RNA (513 nucleotides) under Manacus vitellinus (golden-collared manakin). RNAcentral describes it as "lncRNA (ENSMVIG00005006048.1)". The record is from RNAcentral. Lineage: Eukaryota; Metazoa; Chordata; Aves; Passeriformes; Pipridae.